AGAGUUGAUCAUGGCUCAGGAUGAACGCUGGCGGCGUGCUUAACACAUGCAAGUCGAACGGAGUUUUAACGGAAGUUUCGGAUGGAAGUUUAGAAACUUAGUGGCGGACGGGUGAGUAACGCGUGGGUAACCUGCCUCAUACAGGGGGAUAACAGUUAGAAAUGACUGCUAACACCGCAUAAUAUAGCGAAACCGCAUGAUUUUGCUAUCAAAAUAUUUAUAGGUAUGAGAUGGGCCCGCGUCUGAUUAGCUAGUUGGUGGGGUAAAAGCCUACCAAGGCGACGAUCAGUAGCCGGCUUGAGAGAGUGACCGGCCACAUUGGGACUGAGACACGGCCCAAACUCCUACGGGAGGCAGCAGUGGGGAAUAUUGGACAAUGGGGGAAACCCUGAUCCAGCCGACGCCGCGUGAGUGAAGAAGUAUUUCGGUAUGUAAAGCUCUAUCAGCAGGGAAGAUAAUGACAGUACCUGACUAAGAAGCCCCGGCUAACUACGUGCCAGCCGCGGC
RNAcentral lists this ribosomal RNA (507 nucleotides) under uncultured bacterium. RNAcentral describes it as "bacterial SSU rRNA". It matches the Rfam family "Bacterial small subunit ribosomal RNA", at positions 8 to 518 of the family's 1533-position model. The record is from RNAcentral.